ACUAAGAGCCGAUGAAAGACGUGAUAAGCUGCGAAAAGCUUCGGGGAGGAGCAAAUAUCCAUUGAUCCGGAGAUAUCUGAAUGGGGAAACCCGGCUGAGCAAACCUCAGUCAUCCAUACGCCAAUCCAUAACGUAUGGAAGGGAACCCGGUGAACUGAAACAUCUAAGUAGCCGGAGGAAAAGAAAGAAAACUCGAUUUCCAGAGUAGCGGCGAGCGAAAUGGAAAGAGCCUAAACCAGCGUGCGUGCAUGCUGGGGUUACGGACUGCACAAGCUAUUGUGGAAGGUUAAGGGAACGGUUUUGGGAAAGCCGGCCAGAGAGGGUGAAAGCCCCGUACCUGAAAACCAGACACAGGCGGCAGGAUCCAGAGUACCACGAGACACGAGAAACCUUGUGGGAAGUCGGGGGGACCACCCCCCAAGGCUAAAUACUACUUAGUGACCGAUAGCGCAUAGUACUGUGAAGGGGAAAGGUGAAAAGGACCCCGGGAGGGGAGUGAAAGAGAACCUGAAACCCUGUGUUUACAAGCUGUGGAACAUCUAUAUACGAUGGACCGCGUACUUUUUGUAGAACGGUCCGGCGAGUUACGCUGGCUGGCAAGGUUAAGGACCUAAGGUCCGGAGCCGGAGGGAAACCAAGUCUUAAUAGGGCGAAAUAGUCAGCCAGAGUAGACCCGAAACCGGGUGAUCUACCCAUGUCCAGGCUGAAGUUGCCGUAAAAGGCAAUGGAGGGCCGAACGCACAUCCGUUGAAAAGGGUGGCGAUGANNNNNNNNNNNNNNNNCGUUGAAAAGGGUGGCGAUGAGGUGUGGGUAGGGGAGAAAUUCCAAUCGAACCCGGAGAUAGCUGGUUCUCCUCGAAAUAGCUUUAGGGCUAGCCUCGACAGAGUCUGAUGGAGGUAGAGCACUGAAUUUCCUAGGGGGCGUCAAAGUCUACCGAAGAAUAUCAAACUCCGAAUGCCAUCAAGAUGCUUGUCGGGAGUCAGACUGCACGAGAUAAGUUGGGUAGUCAAAAGGGAAAGAGCCCAGACCUCCAGCUAAGGUCCCAAAGUGCGUGUUAAGUGGAAAAGGAUGUGGGAUUUCAAAGACAACCAGGAUGUUGGCUCAGAAGCAGCCAUACAUUCAAAGAGUGCGUAANNNNNNNNNNNNNNNNNAAGCAGCCAUACAUUCAAAGAGUGCGUAAUAGCUCACUGGUCGAGAGGUCCUGCGCCGAAAAUGUCCGGGGCUGAAACACGACACCGAAGCUGAGGAAUUUAACGUCUGUUGAAUUGGUAGAGGAGCAUUGCAUACGCGAGGAAGCAGUACCGUAAGGAGCUGUGGAGUGUAUGGAAGAGAGAAUGCCGGAAUGAGUAGCGAGAUGGAGGUGGGAAUCCUCCAGGCCGAAUAUCCAAGGUUUCCAGAGUAAAGCUGAUCUGCUCUGGGUAAGUUGAUCUGCUCUGGGUAAGUCGGGACCUAAGGCGAGGCCGAGAGGCGUAGCCGAUGGACAACAGGUUGAGAUUCCUGUACUGCUGUAUAUCAGAACUGUGGGGACACAGAGGGAAAGCACAGGCGCGGAACGGAAAGCCGCGUGCAAGCGAGGUACCGGACUGGUAGGAAAAACCGCCAGCCAACGGGAAGACGUGAUGCGGACCGAAAUUUAGUAGGGAAGUGUGUGAGCCAGCUGUCAAGAAAAGCCGCUAUUGUGUAUACAGUACCCGUACCGUAAACCGACACAGGUGGAUGAGGAGAGAAUCCUAAGGCCGGCGGAAGAAGUAUUGUCAAGGAACUCGGCAAAAUGACCCUGUAACUUCGGGAGAAAGGGUGCCUCGAAAGAGGCCGCAGAGAAUUGGCCCAAGCAACUGUUUAGCAAAAACACAGGUCUAUGCGAAACCGAAAGGUGAGGUAUAUGGGCUGACGCCUGCCCGGUGCUGGNNNNNNNNNNNNNNNNNNNNNNNNNNNNNNNNNNNNNNNNNNNNNNNNNNNNNNNNNNNNAAUUCCUUGUCGGGUAAGUUCCGACCCGCACGAAAGGCGUAAUGAUUUGGGCGCUGUCUCGACAAUACAUCCGGUGAAAUUGAAGUACCAGUGAAGAUGCUGGUUACCCGCGCCAGGACGGAAAGACCCCAUGGAGCUUUACUCCAGCUUGAUACUGGGAUUCGGUAUUGCAUGUACAGGAUAGGUGGGAGGCUAAGAAGCAUGGACGCCAGUCUAUGUGGAGCCGCUGUUGGGAUACCACCCUUGCGGUAUUGGAUUUCUAACCAGCCGCCGUGAAACCGGCGGUGGGACAAUGUCAGGCGGGGAGUUUGACUGGGGCGGUCGCCUCCGAAAGGGUAUCGGAGGCGCCCAAAGGUUCCCUCAGAAUGGUUGGAAACCAUUCGAAGAGUGCAAAG
This is a non-coding RNA of Clostridiales bacterium 52_15, 2363 nucleotides long. The record is from Rfam. NCBI's taxonomy places the organism in Bacteria, Bacillati, Bacillota, Clostridia, Eubacteriales.